RNAcentral lists this ribosomal RNA (768 nucleotides) under Solicoccozyma terrea. Its description in RNAcentral is "eukaryotic LSU rRNA". The stretch from base 155 to 768 matches the Rfam family "Eukaryotic large subunit ribosomal RNA", at positions 1 to 624 of the family's 3401-position model. The record is from RNAcentral. Lineage: Eukaryota; Fungi; Basidiomycota; Tremellomycetes; Filobasidiales; Piskurozymaceae.
UUAAAUGUAUUAGCUGGAUCUGUCUUUGAGACUUGGUUUGACUUGGCGUAAUAAGUAUUUCGCUAAGGACAUUCUUCGGAGUGGCCUCGUUUCUAGGACGCUUGUCCGCUUCCCAAUACAAGUUCCACCUCGUGGACAUGACUUUUUUAUUAUCUGGCCUCAAAUCAGGUAGGACUACCCGCUGAACUUAAGCAUAUCAAUAAGCGGAGGAAAAGAAACUAACAAGGAUUCCCCUAGUAACGGCGAGUGAAGCGGGAAAAGCUCAAAUUUGAAAUCUGGCAGCCUCAGGUUGCCCGAGUUGUAAUCUAUAGAAACGUUUUCCGCGUUGGCCCAUGUACAAGUCUCCUGGAAUGGAGCGUCAUAGAGGGUGAGAAUCCCGUCCUUGACAUGGACUACCAGUGCUUUGUGAUACGUUUUCAAAGAGUCGAGUUGUUUGGGAAUGCAGCUCAAAAUGGGUGGUAAAUUCCAUCUAAAGCUAAAUAUUGGCGAGAGACCGAUAGCGAACAAGUACCGUGAGGGAAAGAUGAAAAGCACUUUGGAAAGAGAGUUAAACAGUAUGUGAAAUUGUUGAAAGGGAAACGAUUGAAGUCAGUCAUGUCUAUUGGACUCAGCCGGUUCUGCCGGUGUACUUCCUUUAGAUGGGGUCAACAUCAGUUUUGAUCGCUGGAAAAGGGCAGGAGGAAUGUAGCACUCUCGGGUGAACUUAUAGCCUUCUGUCGUAUACAGUGGUUGGGACUGAGGAACGCAGCAUGCCUUUAUGGCCGGGGU